CGCACCCGCGCUGAGCUACUACCGAAGUUGCAAAGAGCUGAGCGGACCGGCCAGAAAGGUGAAGGUCCCGGCAACCGAAGAAAGGGAAGACAGCUCCGCGUGGGCUGCCCGGAUCCUCAAGGAGCCUCGCUCGAGUCACAGGAGGCUCCCGCUGCUCGAAGUCCGCCGAAGUGAUGUGAGCAUCCUCCAGUUCCACCCGGCCGCAUCCAGACACCGAGCGGAGUCCGCCCCCGGAGUGCGAGCAUCCCGAACGUUCUGGACGUCCUGCACUGCGGGAGGCACCCGGCCACACUCCGCUCCUCGCCAGUUCCUCGCCCACCAUGGCCUGCCCAGGCGGUCAGGCUCAGAACGGACUGUGAGCUUUCAAAAGGGAAAAAGAUGGAAACCACCAACAAUGCUGCCAACUGGAUGAGUGUCGAUUUAUAGCUUGCGCAGUCAAGCAAGUGCUGGGACUCAAACCCCCAUCCUCUGCAAGAGGACAAAGAACCCGUACCUCUCGGCCUUCUCUUCAGCUUGUGACUUUUCUGCAGGCGAGCUUUCCGGUGGGUGAGCCGACAGAUCUGCUGAGCUGAGAGAAAGACUGAAGUCGGAAUGGGUGGCACGAAUGUUCAUGACAAAGUACCAAUGAGGUGGGAAGAUAUGCAGGCAGGAACUUCCAGAAAUCUACAAAGAGGUCACUGUGUGUUUCUUGUUUGGCACUCGGCUUCCCACUUCUCGAGGCUGGCGUGAGAUGAGGACCAUUUCAUUUCCAUGCAGCCACAGUUAACCGUCCUCGGGGAGAACAGGAGCCCUGAAAGGUUAUUCAUGACACCAGUGGGGCUCAAUUGUCCGGAUAAAAACUACUCCACCCAAUAAAGAACUUUAGUACAAGCUUGAAUAGUACCCUAAUGAUCCAAUAUAAAUUCCUCCCAGAACAAAGUACAAGUGUUAGUCCGGUCCUCCCAACAAGCACUUACAAAGACUUGAUUAUAUUUACAAGAGUCUCAUUUGGAGAAAUGGCUGUGAGCGUUGAAAAGGAAGGCCACCGGGAAGGUGGCCUGUUUAGACCAAAUAACCUACUUCACCCUAUGCAUGUGUGACCGGGUAUACCUACCACCUGAACUAGGUCUGGUGAAGCAUAAUUUCUGGGUGUGUCCAUAGGGUGUUUAUGGAAGAGAGUAAUAUUGAGCAGACAGACUGAGUAAAACAGAUUGUGGUCCCCAGCAUGGUUGGGCAUCUAAUUUAUAAAAGACUUCCAUAACGCUGAAAUAGGACCCACCCAUCUAUCCACCCAAACAUUUUCAAGAACUGAUUUACGCCCAGAUAUUAUAAGGAAUGUAUUAGGCUAGGGGCAAAGUCCCAUGAUCUGCUACCUGAAGACUUGAGACCCAAGAGCACUGAGUGUGUCAGACCAGGUCCAAGGCCUGAAGAUGGAUGCCUCACUUCAGUUGGUUCUGUUUCUAUGGGAAACCCUAUUAGAGAAAGACAGAGAAUAUCAGGAUGAUUGUGCUACAGCACGAUUCUAAUCAAGUUGAAAGGUUGGCCAAUAAGCCAAUUUCCCAGUGGAGACACCCCGUGCUUCACAAGAAGUCGAUGGUAGUAUACCUGCAUUCCUCAGUCACCAUUCUCACGGAAUGAGCCUGUGGGAAAUGUAGCCUUGGCAGGAAAAUAGCAGUGGCUUCAGAAUAGCAGCAAGGACCACUAAACUUUCCUCAAGCAGCAGGUCCAAGUGGUGGAGCUCAGCCCCGGUUCCGUCUCCUCCUUGUUCUGCACGUCCACUCCUUGGGGAUGGCUUGACGUGACUGCCAGAAAGAUGGUGAGGUGCCAAGAUCAAUGUGGAGCCUCUGCUAACCAUUCCAGAAGUAGGUGAGUGUUCUCCUUUCCCGGUGAAGGGUCACCCUAACAAAUGGCCAGAGUCCAUUUGGGGAAGAACUUGAGUGUCAUCACAGCAUGCACUGGUCAUUGUAUAACAGAAUCUUUAUUUACUAAGGCUGAACCACUUUCCCCAUCUCCAGAGCCCUUAAGAUUUUCUUGUAAUGUCUCAAAACUGGAGCAAGAGUUUGUAAAGAUUCAUCGGGGACAGUACCAUUAACAUCUCGCUUUUCCAUUCUUGCCUUAAUUAGUUACAGAAGUUAAGGGACAUCCUUGCUACUUACUUGCUCAUCUGUUUUGCCUGUAGGGGUGUUACCUUCAAUUAAUCAUCUCCCAAACACCCUGUGAGUCAAGCCCACUUAACUACCCUUCCAAUUUUACCAGUUGUUACAGUAAUUAUGGCCUCUUGGCUUUUGGUAGCUAAGCACCAGUCCUGCAGGGCCCUUUAUUACAGGGUCCAUUACCCUGAGAGAUAUUAACAAGCCCAGUUCCAUGACCGCCUCAUCUUCAGCCCUAGCUAAAUACAGACACUACCACUUGUCUCAGUGAUCCUGGUACCCUCUCUUAGGAGUGUUUUUGGUGGCCUUGGUGGAUUGUGUGUUCUCUAGUCCUAACCUUGGAGCAAGCCACAUGAGUUUUCUACACUCACCAUGUAUCCAUUCUAGCCUGACCAGGUCCCUCAGUCUGUUUAUAUCUUCCAUAUUUACCAGAGCAAUGUGGAUAUCAUGCUUGUGCUCAUGACUUUUACCUUUACGGGCUUUUAAGAGCCACUCCGUCAGGAAAUUUGUUUCUUUCCCUGGUGUUCCUCCUGGGGUAAUGUCUUAGUCCAUUUCUGCAUCUGUAACAAAGUAUCUGAGGCUGACUAAUUUACAAAGAACAUGAAUUUAUUUCUCAGUGGUCUUGAGGAUGGGAAUACUAAAUUAAAAUGUCAGUGAGUUUGGUAUCUAGUGAGGGCCCAGUGUGUGCUUCUUUCUAGACUUCCAUCCUUCAGAGGUUUUGUACACUAUUUCCACAUGGUGGAGAUGAAGUCUAAGACAGAUCUAGGUAGCUCCCCUGUAGCCUGCCUUAAUUUGCCUUCAUCACUUAAUCUCUAAAAGAUACCAACUGUUAAUAUAUUCACAUUGGCAAUUACGUCUUUUCACACUUGAGUUUGGGUAAACAGACCACACCAGAAGAUAAGCACUUUGCACCUGAAAUAGGCCUAAACAAAUGUAUUCUUACAUGUCUGCCUUUAUAUUUUAGCAUCUCAGAAAAGCACUGAUAAAAUUUCCACCCAGGAAUAUUUGCUGGCUCUUGCAUGUGUGUCAUAGAGCUUCUUCAGUAUAUAGUAUUUUUCCUGCCUUGUUGGACCUAGCAUCACUCCACUGACUAUGUGAAGAAUUUAACCAGACAUCUUCCUAGCAGUCAGGAAAGAAGACAGCCAUUCCAUGGGUGUAGGUGUACACUCUAAUAUUUACCUUUCGAGAUCUGGCCUUUGGUUCUUGAUAUACAGAUCGAGGAGCUUUCCACAAGGCACUGUUUGGGCCAAUGCAAUUUCAUUGUUAAACUUGUCUAACUAUUGAAUGGGAAAAUGCUACUAUGCUUGCAGGAUUCGUCAACUGAAUAGAAAAAGAUCGAUGCUUUCAGCUUGAUUCAGGAAACAAAUACUUCCCACUUGUAGAUGAUUAAACAGAACUUUGGAACCCAAACCUGACAGAACAUUAUUAGAAGAAGGGAAAUUAUAGACCCAACCUCAAAGAUGCUCCCAGGAGAUCUGUUUAUUUUGACGAAAUUGAUAAACUGCCUGAAGCGUAUUUAGAAAUUGAGUGGAUUCAUGACAGCCAAAGUCGUUAUGAAGAAUAUCUUCAGGGCCAUCAAACCCAAGCAAGCUGCAAACAUCGGGGUACUUCACUGUUUGUACAGUGAUGGCUACUAGAUGAAUGGAAGAAAUGCAGAAAUACCGGGUAAAUUUUCCUCUGAAGGCAAAUGCUUUCUUUCUCACCUCCGUACACACCCCACACCAGACAUAUUUCUACCCUUAAACCAGAAUGUAAGUUGAGUGUUUAGGAGGAAUGAAACCAUAGACCGCCCCCCUCAAGGAAUAUGCACAUGAAAACUUAGUGGCUUUUGCUUUUCCAAAGACCAAAGUCAUGGCUUCAAAUUUAAGACCGGAGGAAUACCUGGCCCUCCAUGUCACAGCCUACAUGCUCGAAACUCACUCAAGGGGCUUGGAAAAAAACAAUCUCAUCAGUGAGUAAUCUCUAAGAGAAUGCAGUAGAGUUUAUUGCUGAAUAAAGUUUCUAACGAAGUCCACAUUCCAAAUCACAGUCUGAAAAACCCAGAAAGAAUGUACGUGAGCUAAAAGUGGAAACACUAGCAAUCAAUGCCCCUGUCUUGUUACCCUGAGACAUGAUGGUGCAUCAAGCUAGGCUGUACAGUAUUGGUGAAUUUGCAUGUGCCUAGAUAUAGGGAUUCCAGAUUGCCAUACAGUCACUACCAUGUCAGGCAACCAAGAAAAUCUCUUUUUGUGUACAACAAGGAGCAUUAUAUCAAUAAGUCUAACAGCUCACAGGCCUGAAGGACUCUCUGCAGAAGUACAGUGUGAACUCUGAGAAUCCUUUAGCUUUCGUCAGUCAUCAGCAUGGAAAUGCAUGGCAAUGAUUACCAGAAAAUACAGUACUCACCUUGCUUGAAGCCAGACAUAGAUUGCCAUCAAUCAAGAAUCAAAUGCUAUGAUACCUCCUAACCUUCUAGAGCUUGGAUACAACCCUGAAUGGAAAGUGAGUGCUGGGGACUUAGUAUGCCCACACACAAUUCCUAUGUUGAAACCCUGCUUCCAAAGGUGGUGGUAUCAGGAGGAGACUGGGACUUCAGGAAGUGAAGAGAAUGCCUUCCAUUAUGAAAGAAGCUCAAGGGAGCUCAUUCACCCUUCUGCCAAGUGACAACAGACAGCUGCCAGGAGCAAUUAAGUGUGUUCUCACCACAAACUCUGCCAGCACCUUGAUUUUGAAUUUUCUAGCCUCCAGAAGUCUGAGACGUUUCUGUUAUUUAUAAUCUACCCAGUAUAUAGUGGGUGUUCUGUUACACUAACGCCAACAAGCUGAGAGAAAAUGUUGCAUUAACUUAUUUUAAAAUGCAUUGCCUAUAUUCAUCUGGAAAAUAAAGGGUUUGAGGUAGG
Myodes glareolus (Bank vole) is the source of this 5008-nucleotide non-coding RNA. NCBI's taxonomy places the organism in Eukaryota, Metazoa, Chordata, Mammalia, Rodentia, Cricetidae. The record is from RefSeq and is a predicted model, not a curated record.